GCCAGGUGUGGUGGCGCACACCUGCAGUCCCAGCUACUCAGGAGGCUGAGGUGAGAGGAUCACCUGAGCCCAGGAGGUCGAGGCUGCAGUGAGCUGUGAUCACAUCACUGCACUCUGGCCUGGGUGACAGAGUGAGAUCCUGUCUCAA
Molecule: signal recognition particle RNA, 148 nt
Filed under: Nomascus leucogenys (northern white-cheeked gibbon)
Lineage: Eukaryota; Metazoa; Chordata; Mammalia; Primates; Hylobatidae
Description: Metazoan signal recognition particle RNA
Rfam family: Metazoan signal recognition particle RNA
About the family: The signal recognition particle (SRP) is a universally conserved ribonucleoprotein. It is involved in the co-translational targeting of proteins to membranes.
Source: Rfam by way of RNAcentral